This 433-nucleotide ribosomal RNA is filed under the name uncultured bacterium. RNAcentral describes it as "partial 16S ribosomal RNA". It matches the Rfam family "Bacterial small subunit ribosomal RNA", at positions 29 to 507 of the family's 1533-position model. The record is from RNAcentral.
AGCGAACGCUGGCGGCAGGCUUAACACAUGCAAGUCGAGCGGGCCCUUCGGGUUCAGCGGCGGACGGGUGAGUAACACGUGGGAACGUACCCUUUGGUUCGGAAUAACGCUGGGAAACUAGCGCUAAUACCGGAUACGCCCUUUUGGGGAAAGGCUUGCUGCCGAAGGAUCGGCCCGCGUCUGAUUAGCUAGUUGGUGUGGUAAUGGCCUACCAAGGCGACGAUCAGUAGCUGGUCUGAGAGGAUGAUCAGCCACACUGGGACUGAGACACGGCCCAGACUCCUACGGGAGGCAGCAGUGGGGAAUAUUGGACAAUGGGCGCAAGCCUGAUCCAGCCAUGCCGCGUGAGUGAUGAAGGCCUUAGGGUUGUAAAGCUCUUUUGUCCGGGACGAUAAUGACGGUACCGGAAGAAUAAGCCCCGGCUAACUUCGUG